This 492-nucleotide ribosomal RNA is filed under the name uncultured bacterium. RNAcentral describes it as "partial 16S ribosomal RNA". It matches the Rfam family "Bacterial small subunit ribosomal RNA", at positions 29 to 507 of the family's 1533-position model. The record is from RNAcentral.
AGUGAACGCUGGCGGUAGGCCUAACACAUGCAAGUCGAACGGCAGCACAGUAAGAGCUUGCUCUUACGGGUGGCGAGUGGCGGACGGGUGAGGAAUACAUCGGAAUCUACUUUUUCGUGGGGGAUAACGUAGGGAAACUUACGCUAAUACCGCAUACGACCUACGGGUGAAAGCAGGGGAUCUUCGGACCUUGCGCGAUUGAAUGAGCCGAUGUCGGAUUAGCUAGUUGCCGGGGUAAAGGCCCACCAAGGCGACGAUCCGUAGCUGGUCUGAGAGGAUGAUCGGCCACACUGGAACUGGGACACGGUCCAGACUCCUACGGGAGGCAGCAGUGGGGAAUAUUGGACAAUGGGCGCAAGCCUGAUCCAGCCAUACCGCGUGGGUGAAGAAGGCCUUCGGGUUGUAAAGCCCUUUUGUUGGGAAAGAAAAGCAGCAGGUUAAUACCCCGCUGUUCUGACGGUACCCAAAGAAUAAGCACCGGCUAACUUCGUG